AACGGUGUGGAUGUCUAUGGAGGAGGAGCGAGAGGGAAGAGAGCGAGAGUGAUGAUGGAGCCUUUGGAUAAAGCCGCUGCGCAGAGACAGAGGAGGAUGAUCAAGAACCGUGAGUCUGCUGCUAGGUCUAGAGAGAGGAAGCACGCUUACCAAGUUGAGUUGGAGACUUUAGCUGCCAAGCUUGAGGAGGAGAAUGAGAAGCUUUCUGUGGAGAUUGAAGAGAAGAGGAAAGAGAGGUACCAGAAGCUGAUGGAGUUUGUGAUCCCCGUGGUUGAGAGACCUAAGCAGGAACCUCG
Molecule: long non-coding RNA, 296 nt
Filed under: Brassica rapa (field mustard)
Lineage: Eukaryota; Viridiplantae; Streptophyta; Magnoliopsida; Brassicales; Brassicaceae
Description: long non-coding RNA (BRAP_LNC004746)
Source: RNAcentral